GAGAGAGAGAGAGAGAGAGACAUGCAUGCCUACUCUUUAAUUUGAUAUAAAUAAUGCCUAGAAGGCCCUACCAAUUCUUAAAAACAAGACUGUAGAAUAAAUUAUCAAACACUUGUAAGACUCAGUAAGCAUAUGUACUUUUUUUUAUUGGAAAAUUAGGAGAAUGGAGGUUGGAAUGUUUACGUAGUUUAUUAAAGAUGAUUUUUAUUUUUUAAUGUAAAAAUAAAAAAAUGUAUAUAUCCUUUUUUUUAUUUUUCUCCUUUUUCUGUCAAGUUUAUAUCUAUUAAAUUUUCCAAGAAAAUAAAAUAAAAGAAAAGGAUAAUGGGUGUUUGAUUUCACUCACCAAUAAUAAUCCCAUCUGGGU
Molecule: unclassified non-coding RNA, 364 nt
Filed under: Hevea brasiliensis (rubber tree)
Lineage: Eukaryota; Viridiplantae; Streptophyta; Magnoliopsida; Malpighiales; Euphorbiaceae
Source: RNAcentral